This is a long non-coding RNA of Zootermopsis nevadensis, 1055 nucleotides long. RefSeq lists it as uncharacterized. The record is from RefSeq and is a predicted model, not a curated record. NCBI's taxonomy places the organism in Eukaryota, Metazoa, Arthropoda, Insecta, Blattodea, Termopsidae.
CUCCAGGAAUAUUUUGGUCAUAAAAUCUUCGUCGGGAUGAACAAGUUUAUUCGCUGUACCAAGUCAAAACUUGAACGUCGCAACGGAAGGCAGGAUCAAGUUGGAGCCUGCAGUCGACAGGAACAGGAACUGUCUGGACUGCACAUCACGGACUUGCCGCCAGAGGCGCUGGCUCUUGGGAGAACCCCUGAUUGAGAACUAAAGUGGCGACGUCGCAGAAUCGUCUAGCCAAGAAAUCGUAAGGGCAAAGUUCGAAAAUGCGAGCCAGCGCCUCUGGCGGCAAGUCCGUGAUGUGCAGUCCAGACAGUUCCUGUUCCUGAACACGAACAGGAAUGUUCGAGGAAUGCACCACUUCCAUCUUCAGCCCUGAAAUGCACUUCAAGGCAAGAUUAUUCAGUCUCAGAAUCCAGAAGACCACAAAGGACAGGAAAUUGUUGAAAACUGAGUGACGCACAAAACAUGAUCACAGAAGAAGAGAAACAACGCUCUUCUGUUGUGUGCUGUUUGCCUAAUUCUAAGCCAAUCAGAAAAGAGUUGCUAGCAAACUUUUGCAAUUCAUCCUUCCCAGAAAUUAACUGUUACAGUUCUGGUUAAAACAAUAAUAAACUUUCAUCUUCCAUGAAAGGUAGGAAUUUCUUAACCAGUUUCUCAAGGCAGACUUUGCUCCAUGGAGUUAGAAACUGUACUCGCCCUUAUCUAGUGGCAAGAUCACAGCUUUUCAUCUGAAAAUGGUGUUUUAGAAAUUUGAUUAAUUUUAUAAGAAUUCACUUGUCUCUACAUGUGGCCGGGAUGGAAUAAACUUCCAAGCGUAAUACUCGUGAGGUAAACAGGUUCAACAAAAUGUCAUCUUAGCUUCAAUACAAACCUAGCAUCUCCACAGGGUGCAGCAUUGAUGUAUUAUAAAUGAAAUUUUACGUCAUCCUUCAACUUGUAACCUUUCUCAUUACCUCGACGUACAAAAAAUGGAAUCUUUUGCUGUUUCUUAAAUUAUAAAAAAAGAAAAUGUUACAGUUUCUGUCAAAACAGCACAUGAUCAACUAGACUUUGAUAUGCAU